GGGGUGGUAGUUCAACUUGGUUAGAGCACCGGCCUGUCACGCCGGAAGUUGCGAGUUCGAUUCUCGUCCAUCCCG
This 75-nucleotide transfer RNA is filed under the name Fidelibacterota bacterium. RNAcentral's name for it is "tRNA-Asp". It matches the Rfam family "tRNA". From Rfam's summary of the family: Transfer RNA (tRNA) molecules are approximately 80 nucleotides in length. Their secondary structure includes four short double-helical elements and three loops (D, anti-codon, and T loops). Lineage: Bacteria; Pseudomonadati; Fidelibacterota. The record is from RNAcentral.